Molecule: long non-coding RNA, 1810 nt
Organism: Myotis brandtii (Brandt's bat)
Lineage: Eukaryota; Metazoa; Chordata; Mammalia; Chiroptera; Vespertilionidae
Exons: 4
Source: RefSeq, a predicted model, not a curated record
GCCAGCAGCUCCUCUGGGGGAACAGCCACUGCCAGCUCGAGGGACCCAGCAAUGGAACACGUCCUGGAACCAGCAGCAAGCACAGAUGUGACAAACAAGUACAGACCUGCCUGUCUUCCUGUUGGGCUCGCAGAAAUCUGCAGACACAAAAGGCAGGAAACCAUGCUAGCUACAUUGGACACCUAUGGGAACGCAGACACCGGAUAGCCGGUGGGCCGACUCCUAAGGAUACAAACAGACGGGGCUGAGGGGGACAAUGUGAUGGCUUCCUUAGAAAUGCAAUCCGAGGAGGGGGAUGAAGUGCAAUUGCUGAUUUCACAUCCAUGCGCUGCUGAGCAAGGAGGACUCUGGAGGAUGGAGAGAAUGGAAAAGCGGUCCCUGGAAAGAGAGGCAGAGCGGGCAAGAGGACAGAGAAAGAGCACACAGGGGAAAAGGUUCCAGGAAGCAUGAUGAUGCUGCUGGAGCCCAAUGCCUGGAGAACGUGAUGCAGAGAGGGAGUUCCCUCGGCUAGGACACCCUCAGGUGGAACUGCCCACCAACACCAACAGCUAUGGACGUGGAAGGAGACUGGGACACAGCAACCUGAAAGAGCAAAACCAGGAAGGAGUGAGCUCAGCUGCAGCCUCCAUUCCCGAGACGCUGCAAUAGCCUCCCUGGACUCGAAGCACCCUGAGACUGUGCCCUGCCACUCACAGCCUGGCCUUGCCCCAAUCCCUUGCGCUCCAUGUACCUCCCAUGAACCCCUUGCCCCAGCUUCAGCCAUGUUCACUUGCUUGCCUGUCCCUGUCCUUGUCCCUAUGCCUGCAACCCUUUCAACUAUGACUGAGUAACUCCAUUGGACGUUGGGGACAAGAUGCUGUGUGAGGGUGGGCACUGGGGAAAAGGUACAAUAGCAGCACACACAACAGGCCAGAAGACACAGUACAUGGGGAUGAGGUACAGGCAGGGAGAUGGGGAAGGACCUCUGAGGGACAUAAGCCCAGGCUCUGGGGUGAGGCAUACACCAGCACAUUCCUCCCUCAAAAAGCAGUGGGGACAUGGCAAUGCAGAUGGUGGAGGUGGACAUCACAGGGCGGCAUUGGGCUGAGGGAAAACAUUGGAAGAACACCCUUGGGGGAGGGGGACACCAACACAGCACUCAGGUCAGUGAGCACAGCACACUGCAAGGGUAGGAUGGACCAAGUCGGUGGGGGGGGGGGGGCAUGCUUGUCCACACAGGGUGACACGACAAGACCCACCAGCAUACACAGACUAAUGCGACACGCACAAAAGGGGGGACAUUAGGGGAGGAGAGACUCAUGCGCUCACAAAGCCAUUGUCUUCAUCACGCUUUUUCCAUGGGCUGCUGCACCAUAUGGACCAUACUCACUGCAUACCCUACCAGUUAGCCUCAACUUCACAGGUUGAGGGCACAUGAAGGGGGAAAAGGGUCAGGGCACAAAAAACUAGACUCAGUCAGCUUCAAAACACUGACUUCAUUUAUUUCAGAAGUGUGCAGACUCAAAGCAAACCCGGAAAAGUACACAGGGGGGAAACUGGCAUCUGUAAGACUGAGGGCACGACAUCAGGAGGGGGCACUGAGUGGGCACCAGCGCAUUUUCGGGAAAGCAGAAGUGGGGCAGCUGGGGAAGAGAACCGGGAUGAUUUGCAGGAGUGUGGGGCGUGAAGACCAACAGCUAGUCCCUGUGCUGGCCAACACCAUACAACACUGCCAGCGCCAGUGCUUUUCAGUACAGACUUGCACUCUCCCUAACGUGCAGCAUCGGGACGCUUUCAGCCGCAUUCAUCGAACCUGCCUGGGGCAGGGUGG